CGAUUGUAUGAAACGAGUGACGGAGAGAGCCCUUUAAAGGGCUCUCUUACGUAAUCCCAUACAAAUAACAGACAAAAUAUCAGUGGGCGUUUUUAGGCACCAACCAAUCACAAACAUGUUUUCAAAAAAUAUUGGUAAUACAUAAUUUGAAAAUAUAGUUUCGUUUGUGAUUGUUAUAAUUUGAUGUAUCUUAAAAUGGUUCACGCCCACUGAAAUUUUUGUCUCUGUCAUUUGUCCCAUACAAAUGACAGAGACAAAAAUUUCAGUUUUUUUAUUACAUAUAUUUUAAAUUACGUAACAGAGAGAGCGGUAUACUUUCCGUGGGUAGAGUAUUGCCGGGUCCGUCUGGAAGUCCGGUGCGGGGAAGUGGGACGCGAGGUAACGGCAUUCUCGAAACAGAUGAGUUAUAACUCGUAAUAAGAAUGAUAAUAUGAUGAUUAAAAAGUGAUUAUAAAUUAUUUCAUAUAUCAGAAUCAGAAGGCAAAAAUAAAAACUAUGAAAUGGUAA
Long non-coding RNA from Maniola jurtina (meadow brown), 507 nucleotides. RefSeq lists it as uncharacterized. NCBI's taxonomy places the organism in Eukaryota, Metazoa, Arthropoda, Insecta, Lepidoptera, Nymphalidae. The record is from RefSeq and is a predicted model, not a curated record. The transcript has 2 exons.